This 474-nucleotide ribosomal RNA is filed under the name uncultured Desulfobulbus sp. RNAcentral describes it as "bacterial SSU rRNA". It matches the Rfam family "Bacterial small subunit ribosomal RNA", at positions 916 to 1381 of the family's 1533-position model. The record is from RNAcentral. Lineage: Bacteria; Pseudomonadati; Thermodesulfobacteriota; Desulfobulbia; Desulfobulbales; Desulfobulbaceae.
GACGGGGCCCGCACAAGCGGUGGAGUAUGUGGUUUAAUUCGAUGCAACGCGAAGAACCUUACCUGGUCUUGACAUCCCAGAAAUCCCUUGGAAACUUGGGAGUGCUUCAUUAGGAAGAAUCUGGAGACAGGUGCUGCAUGGCUGUCGUCAGCUCGUGUCGUGAGAUGUUGGGUUAAGUCCCGCAACGAGCGCAACCCUUGCCUUUAGUUGCCAGCAGUUCGGCUGGGCACUCUAAAGGGACUGCCGGUGUUAAACCGGAGGAAGGUGGGGAUGACGUCAAGUCCUCAUGGCCUUUAUGACCAGGGCUACACACGUACUACAAUGGCCGAUACAAAGGGCAGCGACAUUGCGAAAUGAAGCCAAUCCCAUAAAUUCGGUCUCAGUCCGGAUUGGAGUCUGCAACUCGACUCCAUGAAGUUGGAAUCGCUAGUAAUCGUGGAUCAGCAUGCCACGGUGAAUACGUUCCCGGGCCUU